Molecule: unclassified non-coding RNA, 102 nt
Filed under: uncultured Basidiomycota
Lineage: Eukaryota; Fungi; Basidiomycota
Description: sequence contains ITS1
Source: RNAcentral
GUGAUUGGCUUCGGCCUUAAUCUAUUCCAAACCUCUGUGAACCGUGGCCUCCGGGCCGUUUUUUAAACAUCAGUGUAAAGAAUGUAAACAUUAGAAAAAACA